AAUACAUCGGAACGUGCCCUGUAGUGGGGGAUAACUAGUCGAAAGAUUAGCUAAUACCGCAUACGACCUGAGGGUGAAAGUGGGGGACCGCAAGGCCUCAUGCUAUAGGAGCGGCCGAUGUCUGAUUAGCUAGUUGGUGAGGUAAAGGCUCACCAAGGCGACGAUCAGUAGCUGGUCUGAGAGGACGAUCAGCCACACUGGGACUGAGACACGGCCCAGACUCCUACGGGAGGCAGCAGUGGGAAUUUUGGACAAUGGGCGAAAGCCUGAUCCAGCAAUGCCGCGUGUGUGAAGAAGGCCUUCGGGUUGUAAAGCACUUUUGUCCGGAAAGAAAUGGCUCUGGUUAAUACCUGGGGUCGAUGACGGUACCGGAAGAAUAAGGACCGGCUAACUACGUGCCAGCAGCCGCGGUAAUACGUAGGGUCCAAGCGUUAAUCGGAAUUACUGGGUGUAAAGCGUGCGCAGGCGGUUGUGCAAGACCGAUGUGAAAUCCCCGAGCUUAACUUGGGAAUUGCAUUGGUGACUGCACGGCUAGAGUGUGUCAGAGGGGGGUAGAAUUCCACGUGUAGCAGUGAAAUGCGUAGAGAUGUGGAGGAAUACCGAUG
RNAcentral lists this ribosomal RNA (605 nucleotides) under uncultured bacterium. RNAcentral describes it as "bacterial SSU rRNA". It matches the Rfam family "Bacterial small subunit ribosomal RNA", at positions 112 to 714 of the family's 1533-position model. The record is from RNAcentral.